RNAcentral lists this ribosomal RNA (253 nucleotides) under uncultured bacterium. RNAcentral describes it as "partial 16S ribosomal RNA". It matches the Rfam family "Bacterial small subunit ribosomal RNA", at positions 524 to 776 of the family's 1533-position model. The record is from RNAcentral.
UACAGAGGGGGCAAGCGUUGUUCGGAAUUACUGGGCGUAAAGGGCGCGUAGGCGGCCUUCUAAGUCGCACGUGAAAUCCCCGGGCUCAACCCGGGAACUGCGUCCGAUACUGGAAGGCUUGAAUCCGGGAGAGGGAUGCGGAAUUCCAGGUGUAGCGGUGAAAUGCGUAGAUAUCUGGAGGAACACCGGUGGCGAAGGCGGCAUCCGGGACCGGCAUUGACGCUGAGGCGCGAAAGCCAGGGGAGCAAACGGG